CGGGGCGUAGCGCAGCCCGGUAGCGCACCUGCUUUGGGAGCAGGGGGUCGCUGGUUCGAAUCCAGUCGCCCCGAC
RNAcentral lists this transfer RNA (75 nucleotides) under bacterium BMS3Bbin04. Its description in RNAcentral is "tRNA-Pro". It matches the Rfam family "tRNA". From Rfam's summary of the family: Transfer RNA (tRNA) molecules are approximately 80 nucleotides in length. Their secondary structure includes four short double-helical elements and three loops (D, anti-codon, and T loops). The record is from RNAcentral.